Molecule: ribosomal RNA, 500 nt
Filed under: Fusarium andiyazi
Lineage: Eukaryota; Fungi; Ascomycota; Sordariomycetes; Hypocreales; Nectriaceae
Description: eukaryotic LSU rRNA
Rfam family: 5.8S ribosomal RNA (bases 148-301)
Source: RNAcentral
CGAGUUUACAACUCCCAAACCCCUGUGAACAUACCAAUUGUUGCCUCGGCGGAUCAGCCCGCUCCCGGUAAAACGGGACGGCCCGCCAGAGGACCCCUAAACUCUGUUUCUAUAUGUAACUUCUGAGUAAAACCAUAAAUAAAUCAAAACUUUCAACAACGGAUCUCUUGGUUCUGGCAUCGAUGAAGAACGCAGCAAAAUGCGAUAAGUAAUGUGAAUUGCAGAAUUCAGUGAAUCAUCGAAUCUUUGAACGCACAUUGCGCCCGCCAGUAUUCUGGCGGGCAUGCCUGUUCGAGCGUCAUUUCAACCCUCAAGCCCAGCUUGGUGUUGGGACUCGCGAGUUAAAUCGCGUUCCCCAAAUUGAUUGGCGGUCACGUCGAGCUUCCAUAGCGUAGUAGUAAAACCCUCGUUACUGGUAAUCGUCGCGGCCACGCCGUUAAACCCCAACUUCUGAAUGUUGACCUCGGAUCAGGUAGGAAUACCCGCUGAACUUAAGCAUA